CGGGUUGUGUGAGGGAUAUGAGUGUCGCAGGAACCAAGGACAGAAAGCGCUCCAAGAGCUCUGUCGGCUUGUGCCUGCACAGCCCCAAGGCGCCCUGGAGGACUUUGGACAGCCACAGCCUUCCUGGUAAUCCCGGCUCCUUCAGCGCCACCUAGUGGCCACAAGGGAGAAUGACAGGAGCGCGCCGCGGACCUGGAGAGCAGAGCUCUCCUGUAAAACAGCCCUUUGUGUUGAGAAGGUGCUUUUCCUGCCAAAUCAAGUCACCGUGUGUUACAAAUCCUGGAAGGGCAAUCCGGAGGAACAAAGCCCUGAUUUUUUUUUUUUUAAAGCGAGCGUGGAAACCAAACCCUACUUCCUUCCUGCAGGAUUAGGGCUUAUUGAGGUUGAUGGAGUAGGUCAUCUUGUUUCAAGGAUGACCUGCUGGCAGCGCUACCUGGGCCCUGAGAGAGGGGAAAUAUUUAAGCUCUCUGGGGAGUUUAUCAAAGGUUUUUCUGUUCGGGUUACUAAACUGUUACAAAGGGCUCUCUAUGACUGUUCCACUCUAUGUCCCACCACCGCCGCCGUUCUUGCUUAAACUUUGUUAAUAGCACUGAA
Long non-coding RNA from Apodemus sylvaticus (European woodmouse), 594 nucleotides. RefSeq lists it as uncharacterized. The record is from RefSeq and is a predicted model, not a curated record. NCBI's taxonomy places the organism in Eukaryota, Metazoa, Chordata, Mammalia, Rodentia, Muridae. The transcript is spliced from 2 exons.